RNAcentral lists this long non-coding RNA (905 nucleotides) under Nicotiana tabacum (common tobacco). RNAcentral's name for it is "long non-coding RNA (NTAB_LNC018112)". Lineage: Eukaryota; Viridiplantae; Streptophyta; Magnoliopsida; Solanales; Solanaceae. The record is from RNAcentral.
UCAGUUCACACUGCUAGGUCAGAUGGUCUUUGGGACACUACAAAAAUUGACCAAGCACAUCCAGUUGGGGUAACAGCAGUCUCAUGGGCACCAUCAAUGGCUCCUGGUGCCUUAGUUGGUUCAGGUGUUCUUGAACCUGUUCAGAAGCUGGCAUCCGGUGGCUGUGAUAACACCGUGAAGGUUUGGAAGUUAUAUAAUGGUGUUUGGAAGAUGGACUGCUUCCCUGCACUACAGAUGCACACUAACUGGGUGCGGGAUGUAGCCUGGGCACCAAACUUGGGACUUCCUAAAUCGACAAUUGCUAGUGCUUCAGAGGAUGGUACAGUUGUCAUAUGGACUGUUGCGAAGGAGGGAGAUCAGUGGGAGGGAAAGGUUCUUAAAGACUUCAAGACUCCUGUUUGGAGGGUUUCAUGGUCUCUAACCGGAAACUUGUUGGCAGUGGCGGCUGGGGACAACGAUGUUACAUUGUGGAAAGAAGCAGUUGAUGGGGAGUGGCAACAGGUCACUUCUGUCAACCAAUAGAGAAUCGAAGUAAAAAAAUUUACUAGCUCAAGUGAACUGAGGACUAGCCUUUUGGUUUAAGUUUUACUCUCUUUAUUUGGUUUUACUUGAUCCUUUUGUUUGUAUUUGGUAUAUCUGAUGAUCAAUCUGCUAAAGCGGGAGUUGCAAAAAGUUAGUUAUAUACCUUUUUUUUUUAGUUUUGGCCGGUGCUGGUAUGUCCCAUGUUAUAUUGCCUUCUGAAUACACUCCUAGAGUAAUUUUUAUUCCUCUGCCCCUUGUUGUUUGAAUUAGUACGGACUUAUAAUUUGUACUAAUUCAGAAUCUAGGUUCCUCUGUUAUCAAUUACUUCAUGUAUGACCAGUCCUUGUAUUUCUUUUUUCUCAAUGAAUUUCACUUUCACUGCA